This 686-nucleotide long non-coding RNA is filed under the name Musa acuminata (dwarf banana). Its description in RNAcentral is "long non-coding RNA (MACU_LNC000817)". The record is from RNAcentral. Lineage: Eukaryota; Viridiplantae; Streptophyta; Magnoliopsida; Zingiberales; Musaceae.
AUGAAGAUAAGUGGCCACCUACCUCCCAAUACUCCCCCUUGUCGGCUCAACUUCCAUGCACCUCGUUGAAGUCAAGUGUGAUGUGUGGAAAGCUCUCUUUCUUUUCUUUCUUUCCAUGUCUCAUCUACCUGUAAUCCUUAUCCAGGAAGAGACUGAACCCAAGGUGCAUGAUGAAAUGCUGCAAUAAAGGACCGCGGCGGAAUAGGGAGAUGGUUUUCAUACGAGGACGAUGCUGCAUGGCGCACGGUGGGCAGGAAUCGACGAAAUGGAAUCUCCUGUCAUCCCGGCAGCUUUACACCGUAUCCAUGACGAGCCCACGUCGAACAUGGCGACUCGAGGGAUCAAACACAUAUGCAUGCGCGAGUGAUGUUUAAAGUUGAUGUGACACAGUACGCGGUAGUGUGCCUUUGAUUCGCUAUGGUGCGAUGCCAAUCACACGUUCAUUGCUAAUUAACUAAUGAUGGCGCUUGAUGAGAUGUGACUAGCGAUGGCAAGCGAGCUACAGUUCUUUCGAUUACACACGUCUAGGUUGGGUGUUGAUAGAAGAAUGAGUAAUUGAAUGAUUAGCCAUAUUAAAAUCGACAAGCUGAAUGGCAGAUCUGUAGAUUGGUAGUGGAAUUUGCUAAUAUUCGUGUCGAUUACUUUCUUGUUGGGGCUUCGGAGAAAUAAUGUGCUGAUGGAGUUGG